GGGUGGCUAGCUCAGCUGGUUAGAGCGCCGGUCUCACAUACCGGAGGUCACAGGUUCGAGUCCUGUGCCGCCCAUCA
This 77-nucleotide transfer RNA is filed under the name Gemmatimonadetes bacterium 13_2_20CM_70_9. Its description in RNAcentral is "tRNA-Val". It matches the Rfam family "tRNA". Rfam says of the family: Transfer RNA (tRNA) molecules are approximately 80 nucleotides in length. Lineage: Bacteria; Pseudomonadati; Gemmatimonadota. The record is from RNAcentral.